This 528-nucleotide ribosomal RNA is filed under the name uncultured bacterium. Its description in RNAcentral is "bacterial SSU rRNA". It matches the Rfam family "Bacterial small subunit ribosomal RNA", at positions 19 to 518 of the family's 1533-position model. The record is from RNAcentral.
CUGGCUCAGGACGAACGCUGGCGGCGUGCCUAAUACAUGCAAGUCGAACGGUCUUUUCUAUGGAAGCUUGCUUCCACUGAGAAGAUAGUGGCGAACGGGUGAGUAACACGUGGGUAACCUGCCCAUAAGAGGGGGGAUAACAUCCGGAAACGGGUGCUAAUACCGCAUAGUUUUCUUGAUCGCAUGAUUGAGAAAGGAAAGACGGCCUUUGUGCUGUCGCUUAUGGAUGGACCCGCGGCGUAUUAGUUAGUUGGUGAGGUAACGGCUCACCAAGACGAUGAUACGUAGCCGACCUGAGAGGGUGAUCGGCCACAUUGGGACUGAGACACGGCCCAAACUCCUACGGGAGGCAGCAGUAGGGAAUCUUCCGCAAUGGACGAAAGUCUGACGGAGCAACGCCGCGUGAGUGAAGAAAGGUUUUCGGAUCGUAAAACUCUGUUGUCAGAGAAGAACAAGUUGGAGAGUAACUGCUCCAGCCUUGACGGUAUCUGACCAGAAAGCCACGGCUAACUACGUGCCAGCCGCAGC